GUAAAUGUAAAUGCUAUUAAUGGU
Molecule: non-coding RNA, 24 nt
Filed under: Arabidopsis thaliana (thale cress)
Lineage: Eukaryota; Viridiplantae; Streptophyta; Magnoliopsida; Brassicales; Brassicaceae
Source: RNAcentral